GGUUCGAUGGUCUAAUGGUUAUGAUUUCUGUCUCACAGUUAGCUUAUCCAAGCUGCCCACACAGAAGGUUCCGAGUUCGAUCCUCGGUCGAACCA
This is a non-coding RNA of Hygrophoropsis aurantiaca, 95 nucleotides long. Lineage: Eukaryota; Fungi; Basidiomycota; Agaricomycetes; Boletales; Hygrophoropsidaceae. The record is from the annotation of a GenBank genome assembly.